GAUAGCCCGGAGAAAUCCGGAUUAAUAUCCCAUAGUAUAAUUGAAUGGCAUCAUUUAAUUAUUAAAGAUUUAUCGGUACAAGAUGAGCAUGCGUCCCAUUAGCUAGUUGGUAUGGUAACGGCAUACCAAGGCAAUGAUGGGUAGGGGUCCUGAGAGGGAGAUCCCCCACACUGGUACUGAGACACGGACCAGACUCCUACGGGAGGCAGCAGUGAGGAAUAUUGGUCAAUGGAGGCAACUCUGAACCAGCCAUGCCGCGUGCAGGAUGACGGUCCUAUGGAUUGUAAACUGCUUUUAUACAGGAAGAAACCCUACUACGUGUAGUAGACUGACGGUACUGUAAGAAUAAGGAUG
RNAcentral lists this ribosomal RNA (354 nucleotides) under uncultured Bacteroidota bacterium. Its description in RNAcentral is "bacterial SSU rRNA". It matches the Rfam family "Bacterial small subunit ribosomal RNA", at positions 142 to 494 of the family's 1533-position model. The record is from RNAcentral. Lineage: Bacteria; Pseudomonadati; Bacteroidota.